GGCAAUUGAAGUGUCCAGAUUAUAUAAAGGCUGACUUAGGGGAAAAAAUUAUAUACGAAGAAGAUCAAAAAGUCAAUUAACACAAAAAUGUUUUAGGUCUCUAAGUCGCCAAGGAAAUUCAAGUACAAUUAGAUACCAUUUUAUACAAUCAUAUAAUACCAAGGAUAGGCAAAAAUCUUGAAAAAAAAACUUUUCAUUACUUUAGUAAAGUUGAAAUUACGCAUUGCUGGAGUUCCUUUUGUGGCACAGUGGAAGCUAAUCCAACUAAUACCCAUGGGGAUGGAUCGAACCUGCAUCCUCAUGGAUACUAGUUAGAUUCGUUUCCUCUGUGCCACAACGGGAACUCCCAAAUACAGAUUUUAUAUUUAUAAAAUUCACUUUCCAUAUUAAGAAGGCCUGGGAGUUUAUAGUACUGCAUCUAAAUAUGUAAUAUUCAGAGUUGUAGUGAUUAGCAUUAUCGAUUGAUUCCUUUUUAAAGGGAGUCGCGUGUUUUACGUAUUUCUAAUUUCACAAUUUUAUUUCUGAGAAAAAGUUAUUGUUCCCACAGUAUAUUGUCUAAACAAUAAGGCAUCCACAGGGUGGAUUCUUAUGGCAAUGUUUGAAGUAACAGGGGAAAAAAAACUAACUUACAUGACUCCAGCACUAGCAUUUCCAGUCAAAUCCAGUCCGUGGCCUCUAAGCUAAGAAUUGUUUUACCAGGUGUGCAGGGUCUAGCUUAUCAAAUCCUGCACAUUCCAAAGAUAAGCCUGCCCCUUGACCAGCUCCCUAGGAGAUAACCUUUUAAGUUCUUAGAAUAUCCCGCCUCCUGGGUGUGCCUCUGUUUACUUGGAGCCUUGAGCCACAUCAGAUAGUUUAUGAUAACAGUGAUUUUGGGGUGGGGGGACCUUGCACCUCACAGGAGCAGCUUGAUCUCUGGAGGAGCCGGAAGCUGAAUAAGGCCAGCCAAGUGGGUGCUCCAUGCCUGCCAGACCUGCACUGCAAUGGAAGCCCUGGACACGGAGUCUCAGGUAAGUGUCCCUUGUUGACGGGAUGCUCUGCGUGUUGUCCCACAUCUCUUCCGGAAGAAUUAAAUUCGGUCCCUGCAGCUUCUCUGGAGAGGAAACGUGGAGGCUUGUGCAGGUCUCCUGGACUCUUCCCGGUGCCUUUUACAUUUGCUGAUUUUAAAUUUUAUCUUUUUGCUGUAAACUGUAACUGUCAGCCCGACAGCUUUUCUGAGUUCCAUGGGUCAUUGAACUAGAGAGUAAUCUGGGGGCCUCUGACAUGAUAUAUUUAAAGGACUGUGUUUUUAGAAAGAAUAUGCAGGAGUUCCCAUUGUGGCUUAGUGGGUGAAAGACCUGACAUUGUCUCUUUGGGGGUGUGGGUUUGAUCCCUGGCCUCACUCAGUGGGUUAAGGAUCUGGUGUUGCUGCAAGCUGCAGUUAGGCAAAUGCAGCCAGUAAAAUACAUUUUUAAAUAAAUAAAUAGAAUAUGCAGUAGAGACCAUAUGUGUCCUGAGAAGCUUAAAACAUUGCUGUUUGGCCCUUUACAGAAAACUGUUUCCAACUCAUGCAGAAAUGUAACAAAUAAAUACCUAUGUUAUUUUCACACAUUGAAGACAUAACAAUUAAAAUGGAUGAAUAGCUAUGUAAAUAAAUCUCAAACUGUUUUAAGUUUAAAAAGUAGCAGAAGAAUAAAGCAGUAGGAUACUAUUUAUGUAACUUAAACUAUUGUUAUGAUUAAAUGUGUACGUAAAAUGUAAAAAGCACCAAGAAGGAUGUCCAGGAACCUCAGGAUUGUCCUGAGCUCCAGGGGAAAAAACGGAAUGGAAGGUAAGAAAUUUGUCAGAUUUCAUCCUUAAAAAGAGAGAUUCAGGGGAAAUAACUGAAUCUCAUGAAACAAAUGAAAAGAUUUUAUUUUACUGAUUUUUUUGUUUCUUUCCCCAAUCAGCUUAACUUGGAACUGUAGAAUGAUUGUGAUAAAGAUCUCGUCGGCCUCCCAUUCUUCAGGUUCUCCGUCAAGGCACAGGUCUUGGUCGGUGAAUUGCCCAAAGUCAUGAUAAACUCUUGUUUUGUUGUUUUUGCUUUUUAGGGCCACACUCGCAGUGUAUGGAGGCUCCCAGGCUAGGGGCUGAAUGGGAACUACAGCUGUCGGCCUAUGUCACAGCUCACUGCCACACUGGAUCCUUAAUCCACUGAGCGAGGCCAGGGAUCAAACCCACAUCCUCAUGGUUCCUAGUCGGAUUCAUUUCUGCUGCGCCACAACGAGAACUCCGAAUUCUUGUUUGUUUAAAGAGAGCAUUCUGUAGGAAGUAUGUUAGUGCUGGCAGGGUCAGUAAUUUUGAACUAUGGGAACCUCUUAAAGGAGUAAGGGCUAUGCUAAUACAUUCCAGAGCUAUAUCAAGUUCUCUUUUAAUUCUGUCCAUCUGUAAAUUGAAGACUAUUGAGAAAUAGGUAUGGAAGAAAGAGAAACAUACAUUCUGAGAAUUCAUGCAGCUAGCUCUUUUACAGAUAGUAAAGCAUGCAUAGGGAGUUCCCUGGUGGCCUAGCGGUUAAGGACUCGGCAUUGUCACUGCUGUGGCUCUGGUUCAGUCCCUGGCCCAGGAACUUCUGCAGCCCUGGGCACAGCCAAAAACAAAGAAAAGCAUGCACGGCCUCAGGGAUUAAUAUCCUUUAUGCUGGGGGUGAGCUGCUUAAUGCACUCUAGGUUUACAGUGGAGGCAAUAUACCUAAUUUGUAUUUUCUUAAAAUUUCUUUUGCUCUUUGAAGCAGUCGUAGAGAUCAUGCCAAGUUUAGUGUCUGCUGAUAUGUAGACAAUUUAAAAGGUAUUAAAAGUUAAGGAGAUCUAGCUGUGGCUCAGCAGGUUAAGAACCCAACUAGUCUCUGUGAGGAUAUGGAUUCAAUCCCUGGCCUCGCUCAGUGGGUUAACAGGAUCUGGUGUUGCCGCAAGCUGUGACGUAGUCAGAGAUGUGUCUUGGAGCCAGUGUUGCCAUGGCUGUGCUGUAGGCUGGCAGCUGCAGCACUGAUUCAACCCCUAGCCCUGGGAACUUCCAUAUGCUGUAGGUGCGGCUAUAAAAAGAAAAAAAAAAAAA
RNAcentral lists this long non-coding RNA (3066 nucleotides) under Sus scrofa (pig). Its description in RNAcentral is "lncRNA (ENSSSCG00065076352.1)". The record is from RNAcentral. Lineage: Eukaryota; Metazoa; Chordata; Mammalia; Artiodactyla; Suidae.